GCCAGCAAAGCUCAAAUUGAUAAUAUUCAAUCUCACACAAAUGGAAUGAAAGUUGAAAUCAUAGAUGCCCUUUAGUUUUUGGAGUGACCUGUGUAGAUACUCCAUUACUAUGACAAAUAAGAGGGGUGAUAUAAGAUCACCCUAUCUUAGUCCUCUUCUAGCUUUCAUGACUUUAGUGUGGUCCCCAUUUAUGCUGAAUUUAUACGACACAGAUGUAAC
This 219-nucleotide long non-coding RNA is filed under the name Lathyrus oleraceus (garden pea). RNAcentral describes it as "Pisum sativum (pea) long non-coding RNA (PSAT_LNC017546)". Lineage: Eukaryota; Viridiplantae; Streptophyta; Magnoliopsida; Fabales; Fabaceae. The record is from RNAcentral.